Molecule: ribosomal RNA, 1156 nt
Filed under: uncultured bacterium
Lineage: Bacteria
Description: bacterial SSU rRNA
Rfam family: Bacterial small subunit ribosomal RNA
Source: RNAcentral
AACAAUCGAAACCGCAUGGCCUGAUUUGAAAGGCGCUCCCGGGUGUCGCUGAUGGAUGGACCCGCGGUGCAUUAGCUAGUUGGUGAGGUAAGCUCACCAGGCGACGAUGCAUAGCCCUGAGAGGGUGAUCGGCCACAUUGGGACUGAGACACCCCCAAACUCCUACGGGAGGCAGCAGUAGGGCGAAAUCUUCGGCAAUGGACGAAAGUCUGAGGGAGCAACGCCGCGUGAGUGAAGAAGGUCGGAUCGUAAAACUCUGUUUUAGAGAAGAACAAGGAUGAGAGUAACUGUUAUCCCUUGACGGUAUCUAAUUUCCAGAGGGCCACGGCUAACUACGUGCCAGCAGCCGCGGUAAUACGUAGGUGGCAAGCGUUUACCGGAUUUAUUGGGCGUAAAGCGAGCGCAGGGGUUUCUUAAGUCUGAUGUGAAAGCCGGGCGGCUCAACCGGGGAGGUCAUUGGAAACUGGGAGACUUGAGUGCAGAAGAGGAGAGUGGAAUUCCAUGUGUAGCGGUGAACCGGUAGAUAUAUGGAGGAACACCAGUGGCGAGGCGGCUCUCUGGUCUGUAACUGACGUGAGGCUCGAAAGCGUGGGGAGCAAACAGGAUAGAUACCCUGGUAGUCCACGCCGUAAACGAUGAGUGCUAAGUGUUGGAGGGUAUGGCCGCCCUUCAGUGCUGCAGCUAACGGGUUAAGCACUCCGCCUGGGGAGUACGACCGCAAGGUUGAAACUCAAAGAAUUGACGGGGGCCCGCACAAGCGGUGGAGCAUGUGGUUUAGGGCGAAGCAACGGAAGAACCUUACCAGGUCUUGACAUCCUUUGACCACUCUAGAGAUAAGAGAGCUUCCCCUUCGGGGGCAAAUGGGAGGUGUGAUGGUUGUAGUCGUCAGCUCGUGUCGUGAGAUGUUGGGUUUCCCGCAACGAGCGCAAGGGUUAUUGUUAGUUGCCAUCAUUUUGGGCACUCUAGCAAGACUGCCGGUGACAAACCGGAGGAAGGUGGGGAUGACGUCAAAUCAUCAUGCGGGCUUAUGACCUGGGCUACACACGUGCUACAAUGGGAAGUACAACGAGUCGCAAAGUCCGAGGCUAAGCUAAUCUCUUAAAGCUUCUCUCAGUUCGGAUUGUAGGCUGCAACUCGCCUACAUGAAGCCGAAUCG